This 76-nucleotide transfer RNA is filed under the name Marmota monax (woodchuck). Its description in RNAcentral is "tRNA.Ala". Lineage: Eukaryota; Metazoa; Chordata; Mammalia; Rodentia; Sciuridae. The record is from RNAcentral.
GUGUGUGUGGUUUAUGUGGUAGCACACUUACCUGGCAUGUGCGAGGCACUGGGUUCGAUUCUCAGCACCAUAUACA